This 435-nucleotide ribosomal RNA is filed under the name uncultured bacterium. RNAcentral's name for it is "partial 16S ribosomal RNA". It matches the Rfam family "Bacterial small subunit ribosomal RNA", at positions 29 to 507 of the family's 1533-position model. The record is from RNAcentral.
AGCGAACGCUGGCGGCAGGCUUAACACAUGCAAGUCGAGCGGGCACUUUCGGGUGUCAGCGGCGGACGGGUGCGUAACGCGUGGGAACGUGCCCUCUGGUUCGGAAUAACUCAGGGAAACUUGAGCUAAUACCGGAUACGCCCUUUUGGGGAAAGGCUUGCUGCCGGAGGAUCGGCCCGCGUCGGAUUAGCUAGUUGGUGAGGUAACGGCUCACCAAGGCGACGAUCAGUAGCUGGUCUGAGAGGAUGAUCAGCCACACUGGGACUGAGACACGGCCCAGACUCCUACGGGAGGCAGCAGUGGGGAAUAUUGGACAAUGGGCGCAAGCCUGAUCCAGCCAUGCCGCGUGAGUGAUGAAGGCCUUAGGGUUGUAAAGCUCUUUUAUCCGGGACGAUAAUGACGGUACCGGAGGAAUAAGCCCCGGCUAACUUCGUG